AGACACCCUUCUGGGGCAAGACUUGCUUCAGUGGGGCUUUGGUGCUCACUGAGUCUGCCCCCUGAAUGUUGCCCU
Molecule: microRNA precursor, 75 nt
Filed under: Myotis lucifugus (little brown bat)
Lineage: Eukaryota; Metazoa; Chordata; Mammalia; Chiroptera; Vespertilionidae
Description: mir-9229 microRNA precursor family
Rfam family: mir-9229 microRNA precursor family
Source: Rfam by way of RNAcentral